Molecule: ribosomal RNA, 429 nt
Filed under: Gemmatimonadota bacterium
Lineage: Bacteria; Pseudomonadati; Gemmatimonadota
Description: Gemmatimonadetes bacterium partial 16S ribosomal RNA
Rfam family: Bacterial small subunit ribosomal RNA
Source: RNAcentral
UAGGGAAUCUUCGGCAAUGGACGAAAGUCUGACCGAGCAACGCCGCGUGAGUGAAGAAGGUUUUCGGAUCGUAAAACUCUGUUGUUAGAGAAGAACAAGGACGUUAGUAACUGAACGUCCCCUGACGGUAUCUAACCAGAAAGCCACGGCUAACUACGUGCCAGCAGCCGGGGUAAUACGUAGGUGGCAAGCGUUGUCCGGAUUUAUUGGGCGUAAAGCGAGCGCAGGCGGUUGCUUAAGUCUGAUGUGAAAGCCCCCGGCUCAACCGGGGAGGGGCAUCGGAAACUGGGUGACUUGAGUGCAGAAGAGGAGAGUGGAAUUCCAUGUGUAGCGGUGAAAUGCGUAGUUAUAUGGAGGAACACCAGUGGCGAAGGCGGCUCUCUGGCCUGUAACUGACGCUGAGGAUCGAAAGCGUGGGGAGCAAACAGG